This 258-nucleotide ribosomal RNA is filed under the name uncultured bacterium. Its description in RNAcentral is "partial 16S ribosomal RNA". It matches the Rfam family "Bacterial small subunit ribosomal RNA", at positions 524 to 777 of the family's 1533-position model. The record is from RNAcentral.
UACGAAGGGGGGCUAGCGUUUGCUCGGAAUCACUGGGCGUAAAAGGGUGCGUAGGCGGGUCUUUUAAGUCAGGGGGUGAAAUCCUGGAGCUCAACUCCAGAACUGCCUUUGAUACUGAAGAUCUUGAGUUCGGGAGAGGUGAGUGGAACUGCGAGUGUAGAGGUGAAAUCGUAGAUAUUCGCAAGAACACCAGUGGCGAAGGCGGCUCACUGGCCCGAUACUGACGCUGAGGCACGAAAGCGUGGGGAGCAAACAGGG